Long non-coding RNA from Saccostrea cuccullata (small rock oyster), 715 nucleotides. RefSeq lists it as uncharacterized. The transcript has 3 exons. Lineage: Eukaryota; Metazoa; Mollusca; Bivalvia; Ostreida; Ostreidae. The record is from RefSeq and is a predicted model, not a curated record.
UUCCCAAACGAAAGGCGCUAGAACUAAACACUCAUCAUUUAAUUCAACGGGUGUCACAAUUCCAUGCGUCUUGCACCGAAAAGUCGAAAGUAGAGGUAAGUAAAGACAUGUCAACAGAAGAGGGCAAGAUUAGACUGCUUUUUGCCACAGAGGCAUACGGAAUGGGAGCUGACCCCCCUGAUGUACAUCAAGUUAUUCAUAUAGGACCUCCAAGUUCACUUGAAACUUAUCUCCAAGAAGUAGGACGAGCUGGACGGGAUGAACAGGGGUGUAGUGCAACUCUGUUUUUCAAUAUGAAUGACAUUGGGACGCCACACGUCAAAAAUGAAGUAAGAGCUUUUGUUUGCUCGACUCUUGUCGCAGGAAAUUUAUAUCUGAACAUUUCGGUUACACUUUUAACAAACUCAGUCAGAUGCAUGAAUGUUGUGAUAUUUGCGAAAAAUCCUGCCCAUGCGACAACUGUUUUGCAGAGGAAGUUAAUAAGUGCGAGAUUGUUUCUCCACCCGCCAAACAAAUUUCAAAGAAAAAAAAAUUGAAUGAACUAUCAAGGAUCUUGUUAGCUUUCUUUGAAGAUGAAAAUAAACAAUAUGACGUGCCAUUUCCAGAAAUUAUUACAGGCUUGUCAAAGCAGACGGCAGAUAAAAUUGCAUCACUUGCAACCCAAUUAACAUCCUUAACUGACAUCAGGAAGGAGUUUCCAAAUAUAGCUGAGGAU